Molecule: ribosomal RNA, 253 nt
Filed under: uncultured bacterium
Lineage: Bacteria
Description: partial 16S ribosomal RNA
Rfam family: Bacterial small subunit ribosomal RNA
Source: RNAcentral
UACAGAGGAGCCAAGCGUUGUCCGGAUUGACUGGGCGUAAAGCGCACGCAGGCGGGUCUGCGCGUGGGGUGUGAAAUCUGGCCGCUUAACGGCCAGGCGCCAUCCCAUACGGCAGGCCUGGAGCGCUGCAGAGGUCGGUGGAAUUGCCGGUGUAGUGGUGAAAUGCGUAGAGAUCGGCAGGAACACCCAGGGGGAAACCAGCCGACUGGGCAGCAGCUGACGCUGAGGUGCGAGAGCGUGGGGAGCGAACCGG